CAGGUCUUUGUUACGGAAAUCAGUUAUUGGACUAAUGAUACCUAUAGCAGCUCUUCAGUGUAAAAGGCUGUGGCAAAGUCAAAUGAGACAGUUCCCAUGGAAGGACUUGGAAGCAGCAAAGGUUUAUAUGAAUGUCAGAUGUUAAAAGUAGCACAGAGCAUGUGGCUAUCAUCGAGCCCUAUCAUUCCUGAAAUAUAGUUACCAAAAGUGAAAUCUUAAAAGGAAGACUUUUCUUGAUAAUUUUACAAAUACUAUCUUGGUUUUCCUAAGAUUUCUAAAUAAUCAAGGAAAGGAGAAUAAGGAAACCUCUGAAGAUCUAGAUCUUUCGGUGGGAAGAUGGAAUUUGAGCUGAGAUCUGAAUGAAAGCCACCAUUUGGAAUGUGCAGAGAGAGGAUGUGGAAAUCUUAAGGGGCAAAUAAAAGGAAGAAACGAAAAAAAGUACAAAAGUAUGGAGAAGAAUAUUGUGGAAGGCAGGAUCAAGCUAGGCAGAUUCAG
This is a long non-coding RNA of Pan troglodytes (chimpanzee), 495 nucleotides long. RefSeq lists it as uncharacterized. The transcript has 3 exons. The record is from RefSeq and is a predicted model, not a curated record. NCBI's taxonomy places the organism in Eukaryota, Metazoa, Chordata, Mammalia, Primates, Hominidae.